UUAUCUUCUCUCUUUCAAGGCAAAAAAGGACACAGCUUCUCAGCGUCUGACGUCCGCCUGUCAGACUUCUUGGCCCUCGGGCUGGAAAAACUCUGGCGUUCUCAGGAAUCCUUGCAAGCCUGGCUCCGAGGGGAAGCUCACCCGUGCAGACCACAGGGAGGAGCGAGAAGCCUUCAAGGCGCAGACCAGGUUGGACUAGAUUCAGAAGCCUAAUUACCACCAGAAAAUUAAAGAAAGUGCCUACAACAGUGCCUGGCCCAUUGUGGAUGCCCCAAUAAAAUGUAUCGAACAAACGACAAUAGCCACAUGAAAUAGAUGAAAAGACAAGGUUCCGGAAGGAUAGGCAAUUUGGCCCAGACUACACAACCAAGAGAGAGCAGAGAAAGAACAAUUACCAGGUAUUUGUGGCUUCAAAGCCAGGGUUUUUAACACCCAUGCCACCGUCUCUCACUCCCAGC
RNAcentral lists this long non-coding RNA (458 nucleotides) under Felis catus (domestic cat). RNAcentral's name for it is "lncRNA (ENSFCAG00000047422.1)". Lineage: Eukaryota; Metazoa; Chordata; Mammalia; Carnivora; Felidae. The record is from RNAcentral.